Molecule: transfer RNA, 68 nt
Filed under: Tetralia glaberrima
Lineage: Eukaryota; Metazoa; Arthropoda; Malacostraca; Decapoda; Tetraliidae
Also listed under: 1 other name
Description: tRNA-Ser
Source: RNAcentral
GAUUAUUUAGUUUAUACAAAAACUAGUGUUUUGAAAACACUUAAAAAGAAUUAUCUUCUUAAUAAUCA